CCUACGGGAGACAGCAGUGAGGAAUAUUGGUCAAUGGGCGAGAGCCUGAACCAGCCAAGUCGCAUGAAGGAUGACGGCCCUACGGGUUGUAAACUUCUUUUGUCAGGGAGCAAUUGGGUCCACGCGUGGGCUUAGCGAGAGUACCUGAAGAAAAAGCAUCGGCUAACUCCGUGCCAGCAGCCGCGGUAAUACGGAGGAUGCGAGCGUUAUCCGGAUUUAUUGGGUUUAAAGGGUGCGUAGGCGGAAUAUCAAGUCAGCGGUAAAAAUUCGGGGCUCAACCCCGUCGUGCCGUUGAAACUGAUGGUCUUGAGUGGGUGAGAAGUAUGCGGAAUGCGUGGUGUAGCGGUGAAAUGCAUAGAUAUCACGCAGAACUCCGAUUGCGAAGGCAGCAUACCGGCGCCCAACUGACGCUGAAGCACGAAAGCGUGGGUAUCGAACAGGAUUAGAUACCCGAGUAGUC
Molecule: ribosomal RNA, 460 nt
Filed under: uncultured bacterium
Lineage: Bacteria
Description: partial 16S ribosomal RNA
Rfam family: Bacterial small subunit ribosomal RNA
Source: RNAcentral